RNAcentral lists this ribosomal RNA (424 nucleotides) under uncultured bacterium. Its description in RNAcentral is "bacterial SSU rRNA". It matches the Rfam family "Bacterial small subunit ribosomal RNA", at positions 355 to 796 of the family's 1533-position model. The record is from RNAcentral.
UCGGGAAUCUUGGACAAUGGGCGCAAGCCUGAUCCAGCCAUGCCGCGUGAAUGAUGAAGGCCUUAGGGUUGUAAAAUUCUUUCGUGGGGGACGAUAAUGACGGUACCCCAAGAAGAAGCUCCGGCUAACUUCGUGCCAGCAGCCGCGGUAAUACGAAGGGGGCUAGCGUUGUUCGGAAUUACUGGGCGUAAAGCGCGUGUAGGCGGACCGUUAAGUCGGGGGUGAAAGCCCAGAGCUCAACUCUGGAACUGCCUUCGAUACUGGCGAUCUGGACCCAAGUAGAGGCGAGUGGAAUUACGAGUGUAGAGGUGAAAUUCGUAGAUAUUCGUAGGAACACCAGUGGCGAAGGCGACUCGCUGGACUUGUGGUGACGCUGAGACGCGAAAGCGUGGGGAGCAAACAGGAUUAGAUACCCCCGUAGUCC